RNAcentral lists this transfer RNA (57 nucleotides) under Peripatoides sp. DVL-2010. RNAcentral describes it as "tRNA-Asn". The record is from RNAcentral. Lineage: Eukaryota; Metazoa; Onychophora; Udeonychophora; Euonychophora; Peripatopsidae.
AACUUGAAAGCUUAUAAAGCAUUUAUUUGUUAAUUAAAAGAAGAAAAUUUUUCUCAA